AAGACCUUGCGCUUUUGGAGCGGCCGAUGCCUGAUUAGCUUGUUGGUAAGGUAAAAGCUUACCAAGGCUUCGAUCAGUAGCUGGUCUGAGAGGACGGCCAGCCACACUGGGACUGAGACACGGCCCAGACUCCUACGGGAGGCAGCAGUGGGGAAUUUUGGACAAUGGGGGCAACCCUGAUCCAGCCAUGCCGCGUGAGUGAAGAAGGCCUUCGGGUUGUAAAGCUCUUUCAGCCGGAACGAAACGGUUACGGUUAAUACCCGUGAUUACUGACGGUACCGGAAGAAGAAGCACCGGCUAACUACGUGCCAGCAGCCGCGGUAAUACGUAGGGUGCGAGCGUUAAUCGGAAUUACUGGCGUAAAGCGUGCGCAGGUGGUUUUGUAAGUCAGAUGUGAAAGCCCCGGGCUCAACCUGGGAACU
This 422-nucleotide ribosomal RNA is filed under the name uncultured bacterium. RNAcentral describes it as "bacterial SSU rRNA". It matches the Rfam family "Bacterial small subunit ribosomal RNA", at positions 207 to 622 of the family's 1533-position model. The record is from RNAcentral.